AAUAACUUGGAUUUUAUAUUGCUGCUUUUGGUGUAGGAUAAAGCCCAGCCUGAAUCAACGUGUUCCAGAUCUGCAGCUGCUGGGCUGAAAAGAUGGAGACUGGAAAACAUCCCUGUCCUGGGAAUAUUGCGAGCAAAAGGAGGGGAAAAAACAAAUCCAGAAAAUCCACUUCUGCAGAGAGACUGAAUUAAUCUCGGUUUUGAGUAGAAUAAACUGUUCAGACCAAAGAGAACGGGGAGAAAGCGUGAAAUAACAUUUGAGGAUGAAAGUGGAACCAGAGUGGGGUGGAAUAAAAAAACCCAGUACAAAGCCAGGUGGCUGCUCGCUACAAACACUUUUAUUUAUUAAUAAACACAACACACUCCCGACACUUGGCUGCCUGACAGAAUCCUCAAAAGCCUUGGCGAGGGAUCAGAGCUGUGCCGGGUUCCUGUCCCUGCCCAGGAGUAGCGGUGCGAGCUGGAAAUGGAAAUGUCCCACACACGGGGAUGUGUGGAUGUGUCCCCUCAGGGUGGCGUUGGGGACACUCUGCUGCUGCUGCUGUCUGAGGUGCUGAAGCUGCACGGCCUGCCUGAGCUGGGAACCCAAACUGGUUUGAACUGGGAGCUGGAAUUCCCUGUAUACCAACCCAGGGCACAGACGUGUGAAUUUUGGGAUAACUUUGCUCCAUUGCAGCGCUGCAAGCCCAGGGGGCACUGGGAAACCUUUCAGGAUAGAAUGGAUGCCCAGGCAGGCUGCAGAGCUCCCAGGCUGGGAUUUUGGGGUGAUUUGUGCAGGUUUGCUCCCUCAGAUCUGAGCUGCUGCAGAGGAAAGGCUGUGACUCGCCGGGCCUGAGUGCUGAGCAGCCCGUGUGGAAUCUAAACAGGCAAAACCUGGCACAGUUCCCUGCAAACCGUGCUGAACUCCCCGUUUCCCUGCAGAUCAGCGGCUGGGAUUCACCAGAAGAGCAGAAACACGGGGUUAAAUCCAUAGGGAAAAAAUUGAGUUUUUCCAGUGCAGCUGGGCCAUUUCUGCUGAGCUGCCACGAGAGGGACACAGAAGGAAAGCAAAAGGAGCUGGGAAGGGAAGGAUCCAAGGAAGAGCUCGAGGUUUAAUUGGGGAUAAAUAUUCCCAGAACAAGUCAGGGGGAUGUAACUCCAUGAAGGAAAAGGAGGAGGAGAAGAUUUUGGGCAAAAUCCAGGGAUUUUGAAUGAAGACAAUUCUCAGAAAUUAAUGAACGGAGGGACCCCCGAAGCUCUGGGUGUUGGAGCUGCUUUGCCAUGGCCCUGCAAGGAGCUGUUUGUGGUGUCUGGGCAUGGUUUGGGGAAGGACAAGGAAUGUUUUCAUGUUUCCCUUGCAGGAUUCUGUGGAUUUCGGGAGGAACCCGGCCAGGGCUGCCCUCAGGCCGUGAAUGGCCCCAGUGUAGUUCUGCGAGGCCUUCCCAGAAGUGAGGAGCUCCUUGGAGAUGAGCCCAGGAACCAUCAGCCAGCCUGGGAGGAGAUCAAGGGGGCUGUGGGCUCCCGGGCUGCCCCACGGCCCCGAGGGGAACAUUCCCAGGGCAGCGUGGGCCCGACACCCUGGGACUGAGAGCACAGAGAGCACAGAGAGCACAGAGAGAACAGAGAGCACAGAGAGAACAGAGGCACCCUUGAACUCUGCCUGUGCCCCUGCCUGCUGGGAAGGCUUCCCCUCAUCCCCCAAUGUUCAGGGCUAUGACAGCUGCUCCUUUCCCUUUUCCCCUUUUUCCCCUCAUCCCCCAAUGUUCAGGGCUAUGGCAGCUGCUCCUUUCUCUUUUUCUCCUCAUCCUCCUGAUAUUCAGGGCUCUUCCAGGGCUCUUCUCACUCCUUUUCCCCUCAUCCCCCAAUGUUCAGGGCUAUGACAGCUGCUCCCUUUGCCAGGGAUGAUCCCUUUUCCCUUUUACCCCUCGUCCCCUGAUAUUCAGGGCUCUUCUUGCUCCUUUCCCCUUUUCCCCUCAUCCCCCAAUGUUCAAGGCUCCUCCAGCUGCUCCUUUUCCCUUUUUCUCCUCAUCCUCCUGAUAUUCAGGGCUCUUCCAGGGCUCUUCUUGCUCCUUUCCCUUUUCCCCUCAUCCUCCCCAUGUUCAGGGCUCUUCCAGCUGCUCCCUUUGCCAAAGAUGAUCCCUUUUCCCUUUUCCCCUUUUUCCCCUCAUCCCCCAGUGUUCAGGGCUCUUCCAGCUACUCCUUUCCCUUUUUCUCCUCAUCCUCCUGAUAUUCAGGGCUCUUCCAGCUGCUCCCUUUGCCAGGGAUGAUCCCUUUUCCCUUUUACCCCUCGUCCCCUCAUGUUCAGGGCUAUGACAGCUGCUUCUUUUCCCUUUCCCCCUCAUCCUCCUGAUAUUCAGGGCUCUUCCAGCUGCUCCCUUUGCCAGGGAUGAUCCCUUUUUCCUUUUACCCCUCGUCCCCUGAUGUUCAGGGCUCUUCCAGCUGCUCCUUUCCCUUUUACCCCUCAUCCCCCAGUGUUCAGGGCUCUUCCAGCUGCCAAGGAUGAUCCCUUUUCCCCCUCAUCCCUCUGAUGUUCAGGGCUAUGACAGCUGCUUCUUUUCCCUUUCCCCCUCAUCCUCCUGAUAUUCAGGGUUCUUCCAGCUGCUCCCUUUGCCAAAGAUGAUCCCUUUUCCCUUUUUUCCCCUUUUUCCAUGUGGGCAACAAGGCUGGUGAGGGACCCAAACCACCAUCACUGUGGGGAAACCAUCCCCACAUUGCAUUGUGCUGUGGCACAAACACAGGCACGGAAAAUGAGAUCAGAAUAUUCCUGGGAAGAGCUGUGCCUUGCUUUUCUCU
Zonotrichia albicollis (white-throated sparrow) is the source of this 2771-nucleotide non-coding RNA. The record is from RefSeq and is a predicted model, not a curated record. NCBI's taxonomy places the organism in Eukaryota, Metazoa, Chordata, Aves, Passeriformes, Passerellidae.